CAUGGGGGCUGAUGAAGCCGUGCUGUACCCCGAGGAGAACGAGAUCGACGCAAGUCUGCGGGGCAGUGAUUACAUGGUGAAGGAGCAGCACUGCAGGAUGCAAGGCCGAGGGAGCCACAGUGAGAGCAAGAAAAGCCGCAGCCCGGACAGUGCCUGCUCUCUGGGCUACGACAGCAGGGACUCCAGCCCAGAUCGGGUCCUGGAUGAUUCUGCAGAUGUGGGGUCCCUGAGCCAGGACAGCUCUGAUGAGGAGAAUGAAGAGAGGGAAGAAGAGGAGCAGAAGGCAGAAGUGACGACUAUAGACGAGGCUCUGAGGACAGUGACUGACACUGCUGACUGCAGUCAAGAAGAUUUCCUCAAGCAGAACUUUGAGACGCUGGAAGAGAGCAG
This 390-nucleotide long non-coding RNA is filed under the name Sander lucioperca (pikeperch). RNAcentral's name for it is "lncRNA (ENSSLUG00000017298.1)". Lineage: Eukaryota; Metazoa; Chordata; Actinopteri; Perciformes; Percidae. The record is from RNAcentral.